GUGAGGAAUAUUGGUCAAUGGGCGGGAGCCUGAACCAGCCAAGUCGCGUGAAGGAAGAAGGAUCUAUGGUUCGUAAACUUCUUUUGCAGGGGAAUAAAGUGCAGGACGUGUCCUGUUUUGUAUGUACCCUGAGAAUAAGGAUCGGCUAACUCCGUGCCAGCAGCCGCGGUAAUACGGAGGAUCCGAGCGUUAUCCGGAUUUAUUGGGUUUAAAGGGUGCGUAGGUGGUUUGAUAAGUCAGCGGUGAAAGUUUGCAGCUUAACUGUAAAAAUGGCGUUGAAACUGUCGGACUUGAGUGUAAAUGAGGUAGGCGGAAUGCGUGGUGUAGCGGUGAAAUGCAUAGAUAUCACGCAGAACUCCGAUUGCGAAGGCAGCUUACUAAGCUACAACUGACACUGAAGCACGAAAGCGUGGGGAUCAAACAGGAUUAGAUACCCUGGUAGUCC
This 445-nucleotide ribosomal RNA is filed under the name uncultured bacterium. RNAcentral describes it as "partial 16S ribosomal RNA". It matches the Rfam family "Bacterial small subunit ribosomal RNA", at positions 354 to 796 of the family's 1533-position model. The record is from RNAcentral.